GCCGCCCGCCCGCACCUCUCCCUCCUCCGGUGAUUCGGCCCUCCCUCGUCUCAGCCGCCACCCCCACGAACCCUAGCCGCGCCCUCCUGCAUCUGUCCUCCUCCCCCUUCCUGGUCUGCCCCCAAGCCCCUCCUCGUCUCCUUGUCGCACCCACCUCAUCACCAGCGACGACCGCACCUAAACGCAUGAGCUAGCCUAGGAAAAGCGGGGUGGCGCGACGCCCUGGUCGUCGGCCGGCGGGGAGCCUGCGUAGAGGCGGUGGCGGAGACGACCCUAGAUGGUGCCCCGCAAGCCGCCCGACCCCCUUCCGUGGAUCUGCUCCUCCCAUUUCCUUUCCGUUGAUUUACUUUUUUUAUUCGUGUUUAAUCUUCAGGGCCAAGAUCUAGACAGGGUGCCUCAACCUCGCCUUCCUCUUCUACCUACUCGCUAAUAGAGAGACAACAACAGCGGUGGGAGGAGCCUGGGCGUAGAGGAGAGAAGUGGACGAGGGGGGUGCAAAGCCAGGAGAUGGAGGUCGCCGGAUAAGCACAGCCGCACAGGGCCUGAUCCCGCCGCUGCCAGAGCAGAGUGCAGGACCACACGGGGCCCGAUGGGGUGGCCGGGAGCGCGAGCUCCCAAGCAGGGAAUGCAGCGGUGCUGGCCUCUCCUCUCCCCGCGCCUCUGUCCUGCGUCGCCACUACCGCCACGGCCUUGCUCGCCAUUGCCCUCCCCAAGUGCUUCUUUCCACAAAUGGUGACGAGGUAGUGGGAUGAGCUGGCCGCCGGCGAUAGAGAAGAGGGAGGGGGAGUGGCGGCGGCGGCUGACAAGGGAGGUGGGGAAGGAGGGUUGCAGCGGCUGUGGGGAUCGAGGAGAAAAGGGGUAGGGUUUGUGCAGGGGCGGCUGAGGCGAGACGAGGAUGGGAUUGGGUGCGCUUGCAUGGAGGGGAUUGGCCAAAUCCUCGUUCACGUGCGCGCGGCCUACCCAGCCAAUACCCGCGACAAACGAGCCCACCAGUCAUAGGCUAGACAACCAAGGCCGGUUCAUGGAGGGACCUAUGUAGCCUCAACGCCUGGGUGGUGGGAGACUACUACCGCCUCGUCUCCGCUGUCAACGCACUCGAGCCGCCUCUUCGGAGGCUUUCCGACGAACAGGUGGCGUGCCGCGUGGAACACCCCACCCACGAUUCCUGAUUCCUAAUGGCCUUUUGUUGUGCGUAUGAUGGAUUUAUGUGUUCCUGCGGCUGAAGGGGAAGACGGAGGAGUUCCGCGCGCGCCUGGGCCGCGGGGAGACGCUCGCCGGCGUUCAGGCAGAGGCGUUUUCUGUGGUGAGGGAGGUGGCAAAGAGGACGCUCGGCAUGCGACACUUUGAUGUUCAGAUUAUUGGUGGCGCUGUGCUCCACGAUUCCAGAUGGCAACGGGGACGAAACCCAUUGGGUUUUGCCUUCCCGAACCCAUCCCCACGAGAAAAUCGCAAACCCAUCCCCGUCCCCAUCACCAUGUGCGGGGCUAGUUUUUCGCCCGUCCCCUAAACCCAUCGGGUUUCGGGGAACCCACGGAAAACCCAUGAGAAAAUAAAAACAUUUAAACAAACAUAGUGGCGACAAAAAAUAACAUUUGAAUAGCAAAACAAGCACAUUUCGGCAGCAUAACUGGAGCAAAUUUUAACAAAAAACAAUAGUAGAUGGUUCAACAGCUAUAUAGAGUGUAUUUUAGCAGAGUUAAACAACAUACAUAGUAUAUUUCGGAGGCAGCAAACAUAACAUAGUAGCAACAAUGAUAUCAUUUCAGCAGCAACAUAGUAUAUUUCAGCAGCAAAACAACUGCAAAUUUCAGCACAAUACUCAGGAAUAACAUCAACUAAAAGAAGCCUAUUUCAGCACAACUAUAGCCCAUUUCAACAACGAAGAUAAGCAUAUUUCAGCAACAAACAGGAGCAUAUUUCAAUAAAAAAAUGUAUUUUGCCGGGUUUCGAGUUCGGGGACUACCGAAACGGGUGCAAACCCAUGAAACGUGUCGGGUUGUAUAAUGUGCCUAACAACAGCCCCGCGGGGAUGAAAAGAUGUCCAUCCUCGUCCCCUAAUAGGGUAAAAACCCGCGGGGACACGGGUUUCGGGGCCCCGUUGCCAUCUUGAUCCACGAUGGGUGCAUUGCGGAGAUGAAGACUCGCGAGGGGAAGACACUCGUGUUGACCUUGGCAGCUUAUCUCAAUGCACUGACUGGGGAUGGAGUUCAUGGUACUGUAUGCAUUUAGAUUAUUUGCGUUUUGCCAAUCAAAAAUUCUGACUUAAACUGGAGUACCAUUGAGUCUAUCAUGGCAUUGUGCAUGGAUGAGCGCAAUGCACACGCUCGUUCUUUUGUUCUUAAAUACCACCAUAUUCCCCAACCGUAGUUUCCUAAAAUGAUACUAUUAAAUAAUUUAUGCAUGAGUAUAUAUAAGAUAUUUUUGUUACUCGGAUUAUAACUCUCGCCUGUGUUUGUUGAUCCAAACAAAGAUGUUUAUUCAGGGUUAGUUUGUUGAUAUUAUACAUUGAUUUGAUCCACUUUCCACAUUUCCAUUGUUGAACCCUAAACAGGCAUCCAUGUCCUUGGUCCCACUUCUUUACAUUUAUAAGCACUGUAAUCCUUUUUCAGUGGUGACUGUAAAUGAUUAUUUGGCACAGCGAGAUGCUGAAUGGAUGGGCCGCGUUCAUCGUUUUCUUGGCCUAACUGUCGGUCUAAUUGAGGUAUACUUCUACAUAAUGUUGUUGUCAUACUUUCUAGACUACCUUGUCGUUCUGGCUUGGAACCAGUCAGUUUCUGCGCUUCUGCGCUGUUACAGUAUUUUUAUAUAAAUGUAUGAUCGGAGGCAAACAUUUAACCUUCUUUCACUCUUUCAUC
Long non-coding RNA from Triticum aestivum (bread wheat), 2855 nucleotides. RefSeq lists it as uncharacterized. Lineage: Eukaryota; Viridiplantae; Streptophyta; Magnoliopsida; Poales; Poaceae. The transcript has 3 exons. The record is from RefSeq and is a predicted model, not a curated record.